GACGAACGCUGGCGGCGUGCUUAACACAUGCGAGUCGAACGAUGAAGCGGUGCUUGCACCGUGGAUUAGUGGCGAACGGGUGAGUAAUACGUGAGUGACCUACCUUUGACUCUGGGAUAAGCCUGGGAAACUGGGUCUAAUACCGGAUACGACCAAUCUCUGCAUGGGGUGUUGGUGGAAAGCGUUAUGGAGUGGUUUUAGAUGGGCUCACGGCCUAUCAGCUUGUUGGUGAGGUAAUGGCUUACCAAGGCGACGACGGGUAGCCGGCCUGAGAGGGUGACCGGCCACACUGGGACUGAGACACGGCCCAGACUCCUACGGGAGGCAGCAGUGGGGAAUAUUGCACAAUGGGCGCAAGCCUGAUGCAGCGACGCCGCGUGAGGGAUGACGGCCUUCGGGUUGUAAACCUCUGUUAGCAUCGAAGAAGCGAAAGUGACGGUAGGUGCAGAGAAAGCGCCGGCUAACUACGU
RNAcentral lists this ribosomal RNA (470 nucleotides) under uncultured bacterium. RNAcentral describes it as "partial 16S ribosomal RNA". It matches the Rfam family "Bacterial small subunit ribosomal RNA", at positions 28 to 506 of the family's 1533-position model. The record is from RNAcentral.